GACGAACGCUGGCGGCGUGCUUAACACAUGCAAGUCGAACGGAAAGGCCCUGCUUUUGUGGGGUGCUCGAGUGGCGAACGGGUGAGUAACACGUGAGUAACCUGCCCUUGACUUUGGGAUAACUUCAGGAAACUGGGGCUAAUACCGGAUAGGAGCUCCUGCUGCAUGGUGGGGGUUGGAAAGUUUCGGCGGUUGGGGAUGGACUCGCGGCUUAUCAGCUUGUUGGUGGGGUAGUGGCUUACCAAGGCUUUGACGGGUAGCCGGCCUGAGAGGGUGACCGGCCACAUUGGGACUGAGAUACGGCCCAGACUCCUACGGGAGGCAGCAGUGGGGAAUAUUGCACAAUGGGCGGAAGCCUGAUGCAGCAACGCCGCGUGCGGGGUGACGGCCUUCGGGUUGUAAACCGCUUUCGCCUGUGGCGAAGCGUGAGUGACGGUAAUGGGUAAAGAAGCACCGGCUAACUACGUG
This 468-nucleotide ribosomal RNA is filed under the name uncultured bacterium. RNAcentral's name for it is "partial 16S ribosomal RNA". It matches the Rfam family "Bacterial small subunit ribosomal RNA", at positions 28 to 507 of the family's 1533-position model. The record is from RNAcentral.